Canis lupus familiaris (dog) is the source of this 254-nucleotide long non-coding RNA. RefSeq lists it as uncharacterized. The record is from RefSeq and is a predicted model, not a curated record. Lineage: Eukaryota; Metazoa; Chordata; Mammalia; Carnivora; Canidae. The transcript is spliced from 3 exons.
GUUCGAGUUUCAAGGCAAGGUUGGCAUUUUGAUGUGAAGGAGGAAACUCCUCUCAUGUUUAAGAAAAAUUUCUAAUUACCUGUGCCGAGAAAAAGGAAAAUAUUAACAUGGAACCUAUGAAAAUCUCUGUUCAAUAAUCUGUGGAGAUAGUUUAAAGGUGACACGAUGUUUAAAUUAAAAUCAUGAUGAGAAUCUAGACUGUUCUUUUUUAUUCCAGUGUGAAGCACAGUCCUAGCACAUGGUAGGUGCUCAGU